UACACUGUUCUGUAAUAUUGCUCCGAGGAAGUGUGAUGACAUUUCUUUAGAUGCAGAGUGCGUUUAGUAUGUUGGAGAAGAAUGGCUUUUAUUCUGCUUUGUCACAGCCUCGGGAGGGAGAAACAGGCAAAAAUCAUUUAUGGCUAAAAGAUCCAGCAAAAAUUGUCUUCUAAUGAAUUUAAGCUCUGGAUACGCUGUACACAAAGGUGUAUAUAGAAGUGGAAAAGGUGAUAUCCUUACCCAAAUUUGAAAGUUUGUGUGGUAAAACAAAUCAACCCAACCUCACUGAUGCAAAGUUGUUCUUCCUGAGCGGUUGUUUCUUCAAGUGUGCAGAGGAGUUGUUUCCUGUUUCAGCUGAAGAUGCUACAUAUGGACUCAGACAUUUGCUAGUUGAUAUGAUGUGGUUUAACAGCAAUGGACAAAUGGAAAACAUUGUAAUAUGUGAGGAAAAUAAGGAAUGCAAAGAUCAGGUGAACUGUCAAGAGCCACACACAUUACAGCGGGGCUGAAGAACUCCAAAUACUCUCAUCCUUGGUCUGAAAACACACGUGAUUUAGUAGGUAGGUCUGUUGUCCUCCGAUGUCUUUGCAAGACUAUUGAUUUGGGAUGAUGGCAGAUAAAUAUGACCACACUUACCUGAUACUGUUGUUGAACAUCUAUUUUGGAAUUUUAAAUUUUCAUUUUUGGGGGGUAGAGUUCUCCCUUUCCCCAAUUAAAAAUGUGAGUAAUUUUUAAAAAGAUGCUUUUUUAAUUUAUUUACAAGAUUGGUCAUCAAAACGAAACUGGUGCCAUCACAAAAGAUACACUUGAAAAUGUUCCACAGAAGAUAAAAAAUUCUCACAAAAAGUAUUUUUUAAAUAUCUAGAUGUUUUGAAGCAACACAGAAGUUGCUAUGCUGUGGGAUUUGCUUUCCUAAUUGUGUCUUAUUACGUUAAGAAUAAAAGUUACCUUGCAAGGG
This is a long non-coding RNA of Anser brachyrhynchus (Pink-footed goose), 958 nucleotides long. The record is from Ensembl. Lineage: Eukaryota; Metazoa; Chordata; Aves; Anseriformes; Anatidae.